Molecule: ribosomal RNA, 378 nt
Filed under: Clostridioides difficile
Lineage: Bacteria; Bacillati; Bacillota; Clostridia; Peptostreptococcales; Peptostreptococcaceae
Description: partial 23S ribosomal RNA
Rfam family: Bacterial large subunit ribosomal RNA
Source: RNAcentral
GGUCAAGUUAUUAAGGGUGCAGGGCGGAUGCCUUGGCACUAGGAGCCGAUGAAGGACGUGAUAAGCUGCGAUAAGCUUCGGGGAGUUGCACGUAAACUUUGAUCCGAAGAUUUCCGAAUGAGGAAACUCACUUAGAGUAAUGUCUAAGUAUCAUUAAGUGAAUACAUAGCUUAAUGAGGGGAACUCAGGGAACUGAAACAUCUAAGUACCUGAAGGAAGAGAAAGAAAUUCGAUUCCGUAAGUAGCGGCGAGCGAACGCGGAUUAGCCCAAACCAAUAAAGUUUUCUUUAUUGGGGUUGCGGACAUAUCAUAACGAAGAGGUAUCGUAAUUGAAGAGGUUUGGAAAGACCCACCACAGAAGGUAAUAGUCCUGUAUGU